CUCCCUUUCUUGUAAAUGGGAGUGAUGUUUCCAUUUUUCCUGUCCCCAGGAACUUCACCUCACAGCCAUGACUUUUCAGUUUUAGUCCUCUGUCAUACUUACUGCCUUCCACAAAAGGCAAUCACUUUACUGUCAAAAAUAUUCCUUUUAGACAAACCAUCCUUUACCUGCUGGAUGUGUCAGAGGCUGUCCCAUACAUCAAGGAAGAACUUCUGACACUGUCUCUGGGGUUCCUGAGCUUGAGAGGGCUCCACAUGACAAAAUCCCAACUACUACUUGAUAAGUCUAAGGAAAUGUCAUCAAUUUCACCCUAGGGGUUUAACUCUUCGUGAAGAUUGUGUUUGACUUCCUUUUGAUACAGCAUGAAAUUCUGUGAUGAAAGAGAUAAAAUGAUGAGAAUUGUUAAGUAACAAUCUCUGUUACACAAACUGUGUCCAUGAUACUUUCAUUUCAAAACUGCUUCACCCGCUUUGAGUAUGUUUCUUUUCAGAGCUUAUAACAUACAACACUGUAGUAGCAACAAUCUCCAGAAAAAGGGAGACAUGAAGAAAAGAUUGAGAGGUGAAAUAUGGAAUCUCGUUUUUAAUUUUCUGUAUUUGGUAAGAUAAAAAAAAGAUAUCAAGAAUACGAAGAACUAGAUAGACUAUUUUUGUCUGCUGUUUUUUGCUAAUGCAGUAAAGCUGUGAGAAUUUAGUUAUUUUUCUGAAAAGUAAAACUGAAGGGUUUUAGCACUUGAAGAUAAUUUCUGAUUAAUUUGAAGACUGCAAAUGGGAAAAGUGGGAAACACCAUACUUGGAAAUACUUAUUGCUCCAAGCAAAUAUUUUAAAUACUUAAGGAGCCUUUUUGACAGCUAAAGUGUAAAGAUGAAAGUAUAUUUUUAAUAGUUGAAGUGAAUGUUGUAUGUUAUACAUGGUCAAUAGCAGAACAGUAGAUACUUCUCGAUGGUUAGCAGACAUGCUGGGAAGCAAAUAACUGACCAUCUGGGCUAAUAGCAGAUAGAAAUGGAUUAGCUGUUUUUUGAAAAGCUGCACUGAUGGUUUAUGUUGACUUUAUAAACUGUGUAUUUGCCUUUGGCCUAAGGAAACAUGAGAACCUUGAACUUCAGGAAGAACUUUGCUGUUAGUUUAAUAUAUCAGAACAGAUGAGGACAAAAGGUAUGCUCCUACUUUUCUCCAAAAUUGUGCUCACAUUAAUCAGCUGCUAUUUAAGUUAAACUGCUUUAUUUCUCUCCCAUAAAUUGUUUUUUUUAGAAUUAGAUGGAUACUUCAUGGAAGACUUCAGUGAGAAUAAAGAACUGGCCAGGCAAACACCUCUGAAUGAUACCAUUUGCAUUUUCAAAUGCUAUUUUCAUUGCCAUAUAUCUCCAUCUUGACAUUACCCCCUUGUAGUUUACAGUGAAACUUUCUCAGGAUAUUCCCUUAUUAAGAUUUUGUUUUUUAUCUUGAGAAAGCACCCCAAACUCAAAGAAACCUAUCCCAGAGAAUACGAUCCCGAAACCUGAAUGUUACCAGUAAGCACCUAAUCUGUAGUAGCUCCUUAAAUGUCUGAAGAAUUCUUAAGAAUAUCUUAAGCAAAAAUAUGCCAUAUUAACUACAAAAUUGAAAGUACUCAAAGAAAAGUAAUGUUUAAUAAAUGGGAAAUGGAUAAAGAGUUAGCAACCCAAUAUAGAAUAAAAAUUCAAAAGAUAUAAAAUAUUAGGAAAAUAAGAUCAUUCUUUUGCUAUUGACAAAAGGAAGACAUUUUGCAGGCCUUUGUUAGUCUGACAUUCUGACAUUUUAAUUUUGUUUUUAGUUAUAAAGUAAAUGAAGAUAUUAUGAUUGUUACAAGGCUGUAAAUAUGAAAUCACUUCCUGAAACAUUUGUGGACAACACAGCCACUUUCCACCAUAUUUCAAAAAUCAUGACUGUCUGGUGAAGUCCCUGGUGACUGGAGAAAGGGAAACAUCACUCCCCUUUUUAAGAAAGGGAAAAAGGAAGACCUGGGGAACUACAGGCCAGUGAGCCUCACCUCUGUGCCUGGGAAGAUCAUGGAACAGAACCUCCAUGAAGGCACAUGGAAGAUGAGGAGGUGAUGCAAGACAGCCAGCACAGCUCCACCAAGAGUAGAUCAUGCCUGACCGAUCUUGUGGCCUUCUAUGGUAAACUGAAGGCAUUCGUGGACAAAAGAAUGGCAACUGAUGUUGUCUACCUGGACUCCUGUAAGGCCUUUGCCACGGUCCAGCACCACAUCCUUAUCUCAGAAUUGGAGAUACAUGGAUUUGAAGACUGGGCUAUUAGAUGGAUAAAGAACUGGUUGGAUGAUCAUAGCCACAGUGGAACAGUGUGAUUUUUGUUUCCACAUCUCAUUCAGACUUCUCACUUAAUGCCACAACAAACCUUGUCAUCAUUUACAAGUUUACAUUUCUUAUUUUCUUUUCAUUAUGUCCUUCAAGAACAAAAAGAUUAUUUCUGCAUUUUGCACUCUUUACUGUACACAAGGACAGAUGUUAUGCCUGUAGAGAUCUUAAAGCAACAAAUUUGGACUGGAAAAUAAUUUUGAUUUUUUGAGGAUUUGGGACUGGACUAUUGUAUUACUCUUUUCCAGACACUGUUCCACUGUCUUCUUAUUUUGCUGGUCCCACAGCCAUGGUGGGAAGCAAAUGCUCCCUGGUGGUAGAUGCAGUGGAGAGGCAGAGCUGGAACCACUCUUUCUAUUUUUCAAGACAAGCAACACUUGGAUGCAUCCUUCUUUUUAUACAUAGACAUAAAUGUCAAUCCUCUAAGGUAUGAAUUUAAACCAAAAUCAUCACACUGCUUGUUUUUGAGACAACAGCGAGAAUAAUGUUUAAUUCUCCCUAAAAAUCUUUUAGGCUGGGCCCCUGAGAGCAGUGGCAGCAUUGGAAAAAAAGCAUAUAGCUAGAAUAUAUGUCACCCAUAGUGGCACUCAGCAGUGAGCUAAAGCAGCUAUGUAUAUCUGCAGCCUAGCUAGAGGAUAUGAAUUCAGAUUAGAUCAGGAGCCAAAAUUCUUCCUUCCAGGGAGAACUCAGGCAAGCAGCAGACUUCAGUGGAAACUGGAGGAGUUCAAUAACUAUGUAAUGGUGAUCACCAGCAUUGUCAACCUUGGCUAUACAUGAUUUGAAAAAGGAGAUCUUUCAUUAACUGCACAGGAGGCUGUCACUAUGGCAGAUACAUAUCAUACUCUGUUAAAUAGAAUCUGUCAAGUCUUGUGUCGCAAAUUAUGAUAUCUUCUUAAAACCCUAUUUGCAAGCAGUCAGCUGGCAAGAGCAUUGUACACUGGCCCAUCUUUUACCACAGUAACAGGAUCAUCCACAGAAGAAGAUGUUUUGGCCCUGUAGUGAAAGAAGCAAUGACCUCAUACAAAGAAAGCCUCUAUCUGACCUGGGAUUUUAACAGUGGGAUAGAGGAAAGAAAAUAUUCCUCUGGAACCAACCAGAAAUGAUAGACAUCUGCUACUUCUAUGUUCAGCUCAAACUCUGGAGCAGAUCUGAGUACACCUCAGAAAUGCUGGUGAAGGAAUACAAGGAAAGAGGUUCUGAAAGUUAUUAUAGAGAGGACUUCAAUCUGCCUAACAAGAGGAUUGUCAGGACUAGCUGCCUUCUGGACCAGCUCUACAGAUCACCAGCUUUAGCAUCUUUCUGAUACCACCAAUUACUGCCCAUCUGAAAAAUCAUAAUGGCAAGGCCAUUAAAUUUUUAAAGUGGCAGUUUUAAUCUGGAGUUUCCAUUAUAAGAAAUGUUUUCAGUACAAUUGGUUUCUGGCUUCAAGAUAAUCGAUAAUUUUUCAUUAUAAAAUUGGAAAGUUAUAUCUCCUAUUUUCCUUGUUUAUGACAGAAGAAUCAGGCUUUCUUGUAAACUAAGUAUUCACUUUCUUUUCUCUGUCUCUCAAAGCAAUUAGCCAUUAGAAUAACUUUACUUGGAAUAUAACUUCUCAAUUCUUCUAACUGUAAAAGUUAUCAUCCCUGCUUUUCUCAAGGUUAGCCUCUAGUCUGAACAAGAAAUAAUAGUUACAAAAACCUGUUGUUACCUAAUCAAGAGUGAUUUUUUUAAAAGAAACCUUUAACCCCUGAACAUUUUGAUUUUCUUUUCUGAGGUAAUUACCAUUACUAUGUGUACAGAAUGAGUUUCUGAGAGCUCAGAUGUCCACAAUGUCUCGGCCAUUUCUGCAGUACAAAAUCAGAUCACAGAAUCAUAGGCAUUGGAAGGGACCUCCAGAGAUCUAAUUCAACCAGGUUCCCUACAGUAGACUGCACAAGAAAGUGUACAGCCUCUUGUGAUAAUAAACUCAUCACAUGCAGGAACGGUGAGGGGCUGAAGAAUGAGUAGGGCCUUCAGAGAAGUUAUACACUGAGCUCCUGAGUCUCCAGACAUGGCCACUGUUGUUCACCACAACGACCACUGUUCAGAGAAGAGCAGGGAACAAAGUCAUUUCCACCACUGAGAGAACAGCAAGAGGACAAGUCAU
This is a long non-coding RNA of Numida meleagris (helmeted guineafowl), 4461 nucleotides long. RefSeq lists it as uncharacterized. The transcript is spliced from 3 exons. NCBI's taxonomy places the organism in Eukaryota, Metazoa, Chordata, Aves, Galliformes, Numididae. The record is from RefSeq and is a predicted model, not a curated record.